Molecule: long non-coding RNA, 287 nt
Filed under: Elaeis guineensis (African oil palm)
Lineage: Eukaryota; Viridiplantae; Streptophyta; Magnoliopsida; Arecales; Arecaceae
Description: long non-coding RNA (EGUI_LNC015072)
Source: RNAcentral
CAAACUAAAAACUCUUGAUUUCUGUUGGUCCAACACUUGGAAAGGAUCUCCUUCAGGUUGCUCCAGCCAUACGAAGUCAUCCAACCUCUACAAAUCAUCAACACAAAGACCGGCACAAAUCAAGCUCCUUGGAAGUGCUAGCUUGCAAGGAUCUUGGAGGCUGAUUUCUCCCUUCUUCUUCACAAGCCUUAGACACUCUAAAUGAAGAGAGGAUUUGGAGGAGGAGAAGAGAAGGAGCUAUGGAGAAAAUUAAAAAACCAGCAAAGGAACUCAACAUGAGGUGUCCA